RNAcentral lists this transfer RNA (71 nucleotides) under Bacteroidales bacterium. RNAcentral's name for it is "tRNA-Gln". It matches the Rfam family "tRNA". Rfam says of the family: Transfer RNA (tRNA) molecules are approximately 80 nucleotides in length. Lineage: Bacteria; Pseudomonadati; Bacteroidota; Bacteroidia; Bacteroidales. The record is from RNAcentral. RNAcentral also lists the same sequence under 1 other name.
UGUCCUAUUGUGUAAUGGUAGCACAGCAGACUCUGGAUCUGUUAGUUGGGGUUCGAAUCCCUAUAGGACAA